RNAcentral lists this transfer RNA (73 nucleotides) under Ailuropoda melanoleuca (giant panda). It matches the Rfam family "tRNA". Rfam says of the family: Transfer RNA (tRNA) molecules are approximately 80 nucleotides in length. Their secondary structure includes four short double-helical elements and three loops (D, anti-codon, and T loops). Further hydrogen bonds mediate the characteristic L-shaped molecular structure. tRNAs have two regions of fundamental functional importance: the anti-codon, which is responsible for specific mRNA codon recognition, and the 3' end, to which the tRNAs corresponding amino acid is attached (by aminoacyl-tRNA synthetases). tRNAs cope with the degeneracy of the genetic code in two manners: having more than one tRNA (with a specific anti-codon) for a particular amino acid; and 'wobble' base-pairing, i.e. permitting non-standard base-pairing at the 3rd anti-codon position. The record is from Rfam by way of RNAcentral. Lineage: Eukaryota; Metazoa; Chordata; Mammalia; Carnivora; Ursidae.
ACCUAGCUGGCUCAGUCAGUAGAACAUGUAACUCUUAAUCUCAGGGUCAUGAGUUCGAGCCCCAUGUUGGGCA